Molecule: ribosomal RNA, 402 nt
Filed under: uncultured Alphaproteobacteria bacterium
Lineage: Bacteria; Pseudomonadati; Pseudomonadota; Alphaproteobacteria
Description: bacterial SSU rRNA
Rfam family: Bacterial small subunit ribosomal RNA
Source: RNAcentral
AGUGAGGAAUAUUGGACAAUGGGGGAAACCCUGAUCCAGCCAUGCCGCGUGAGUGAUGAAGGCCUUCGGGUUGUAAAGCUCUUUCAGAUGCGACGAUAAUGACGGUAACAUCAGAAGAAGCCCCGGCUAAAUUCGUGCCAGCAGCCGCGGUAAUACGAAUGGGGCAAGCGUUGUUCGGAAUCACUGGGCUUAAAGCGUGCGCAGGCGGCCAAGCAAGUCAGAAGUGAAAUCCCCGGGCUUAACCCGGGAAUUGCUUUUGAAACUGCAUGGCUAGAAUAUGGGAGAGGUUAGCAGAAUUCCGAGUGUAGAGGUGAAAUUCGCAGAUAUUCGGAGGAAUACCAGUGGCGAAGGCGGCUAACUGGACCAUUAUUGACGCUCAGGCACGAAAGCGUGGGGAUCAAA